AUCUGCUCAGAACGAACGCUGGCGGCAGGCUUCCACAUGCAAGUCGUGGGGCAGCAGGGGUAGCAAUACCCGCUGGCGACCGGCAAACGGGUGCGGAACACGUACGCAAUCUACCUUUGUCUGGGGUAUAGCCCGGAGAAAUCCGGAUUAAUACCCCGUAACAUAAUGGAGUGGCAUCACUUUAUUAUUAAAGCUCCGGCGCUGGAAGAUGGGUGUGCGGCUGAUUAGGUAGUUGGCGGGGUAAUGGCCCACCAAGCCUACGAUCAGUAACUGGUGUGAGAGCACGACCAGUCACACGGGCACUGAGACACGGGCCCGACUCCUACGGGAGGCAGCAGU
Molecule: ribosomal RNA, 339 nt
Filed under: uncultured Chitinophagaceae bacterium
Lineage: Bacteria; Pseudomonadati; Bacteroidota; Chitinophagia; Chitinophagales; Chitinophagaceae
Description: bacterial SSU rRNA
Rfam family: Bacterial small subunit ribosomal RNA
Source: RNAcentral